This is a long non-coding RNA of Panicum virgatum (switchgrass), 2329 nucleotides long. RefSeq lists it as uncharacterized. The record is from RefSeq and is a predicted model, not a curated record. Lineage: Eukaryota; Viridiplantae; Streptophyta; Magnoliopsida; Poales; Poaceae. The transcript has 2 exons.
GGAAACCAGACAGAAGUGAGGCAUGUUGGUGUACUGGACCCACUCGUCUCAGAUUCCCUUCUUCUUCCCCGCCUCCUCCAUUCAAUUCAGCAGAUCCUCCUCCUCCCUCGGUCUGUCAUGGAAAGUAGAUUUUUUUUUGCAGAUCCAGCAUGAACCCGAGCUCGACCCCUCCACCAAUGCCAGCAAGAACAAAGGAUCCGACCGCUAGAGAUGAUGCAGGAAGGGGAACCUCCAACCUGGUCGUCAACGGGAAUGCAUGGGAGCUGUUUCAAUGGAGCAAGCGACAACGCUUAUCUGCUACCCUUUCAUGGUACUUCAUUUUUCACAAACCUAGAACCCACAUGGGUGUAUGCUGUUUAUGGUUGGUUGGUUCGACCAAAGUCAGGUGCGAGCACUAGUUGAGACUGGUUUGGUUUGCUUAUUUUAUAUGGUUGGUGUUAGUUCCAUCAACAAUGUCUUGGGUCUUUCCAAGGCAUGGUUAUGCAAACUCUGUAUUGGUUGGUAACAACACUGGAUGUUUCUCAUUAUACCUGGUGUUGAUUCCAACAGUCAAUAUGUUGAUACUUUGGCUUCAUCAGGGUCAUGGGAUACGUUGGCGAUGAACUACUCUACUACAAUUUUGGAAUUAUUAUUAAUUUUGUUGGCUUCAGGGUCAUGGGAUACGUAGGCCCGUAUCUCAUUUUGUGCAAAUGGUAAACUUGGAACGUGUUGUAUGGUGCAGCUUUCAUUUGUUGCCUGAAACAAUUUUGAUAGCAGCUUAGGUAUAUUUAGCUGCUGCCAAUGUGAUGCAAUAGCUGGAAUUGAGAUGUCCCAUGUAUGUAUGUGCAGAUUCUUUUGAUUUGAUUUGUAGCAACUGAAAUGUUGGAGUGAUAUUGGGUUGUGUGGUGGCUUGAUAAACUCAGUUCAACUUCGCUUCAAGGAAUAUUUGAACAAAUGUACCAUGCUUGGCACGUUUCAACUAAAAGGUGUCGUACUUUUUGGAAGAGCAUUUCAAAAAGAGGGGGAGUGUUUUCUUUAAUAGUUGUUUAAAUUUCCAAAAAAAAGGUUACCAGAUAUUUAAGUCUGCUAUUGUAGGAAGUUGUGGCCAUGUCAGAAUAUGGAAACUCGCGGCAACACUUACCAAAAUGAGCAAAUUGCCAUUGUACAACAGUUUAACCAAUUCACAGAACAAAAAGAGGUUCAUGGUCUAGAAUACUAUAGCAUUCAGUAGGAUUACAGAAGCACAUUUGACCCCAAGCAUACAAAUAAGUGGUUACGCAUCUAACAGGUCUGCAAGAAGUUUUGGAUGCCUCCACAAAAUUGCAAGGGAGCAAAAGAGUUCCAGGCUCUCUUUGUGCGGCAUGUUGUUCCUAGCUUUUGGCUUGAUCUUACAUGUGUUCCUAACUGGUGCUUCGUUCCUAGCUUGCUUUUGGCUUGAGCUUACAUGUGUUCGUUGCAAGACCAUCCUGAUAGCACCAGUCGCAGUGGCCACCUUGAGAAUAAAAAGAAAAGAAGGUAAGAGAAGUAGGUAAUGUACAGAAACAAUGGGCUGGAAAAACACAUGUAUAAUUUAUAUGAACAAGAAAAGACAUAUCAUACAACACUCAUGAUACUUGUUCUUGUUGAUUCCUUUUCUUUUCUUUUCAAACAUUGGUUAAACUUAAGCAAAAAUUAGUAUAACUGAAGCAUAUGACUGUUGCUUGAUGUUCCAUUCAUUUGCUAAAAAUAUAUCAAGAGGCGGCAAGUUGAUAAAAGUUAUGUGGAGAGAUUUAGAAUCAGCACAUAAAUGAUGUAACAUUUCAAUUCAUGAUUGAACCUGUGACUUGACAAGGUUAUGCGCAGAACAGAGCUUCAAUAGACAUAGUUUAGCCCAGAUUUUUAUUUCCCAAUUAAAAUAUAAGUUCCACAUAUUGACUGUUGGAAUCAACAUCAGGUAUAAUGAGCAACAUCCAGUGUUGUUACCAACCAAUACAGAGGACGCUGGUGACUAACACCAAGGCCAAUACAAAAGAUUGACUUUUCUGAAACUGUAAGCCUAGAAGUGAAAAGACAGUCAAUUCUCAGUUUGUAUCUGAUGCAGUGGUACUUUGGAAUUCCAAAAAAGAUGGAUUGCCAAGUGGUUCAAGAAUCCUGCCCCCGUAUACCUCCUGUAUGCAUCAAUAUUUGGCUACCUCAGUUCCUCGGUUGUUGAAAUUCACAAAGGGACCAAGUAAGACAACGAGGCAAUUAGCAACUUAGCAUGUCAUGGGUCAUCAAAUUUUGUAGCAUUUGUUUCUAGUAAUCUGUUAGAUAGGCAGCAGACCCAAUAGUCACUCUAAAUGAUAGUCUACAAAUUAUGUCAUCAACUAUU